This is a long non-coding RNA of Beta vulgaris subsp. vulgaris (sugar beet), 657 nucleotides long. RefSeq lists it as uncharacterized. The transcript has 5 exons. NCBI's taxonomy places the organism in Eukaryota, Viridiplantae, Streptophyta, Magnoliopsida, Caryophyllales, Amaranthaceae. The record is from RefSeq and is a predicted model, not a curated record.
AUCUAUUGGCCCUAAACUCUCUUCUUUCCGCAUCGUAUUACUCGCGUACCCAAUAUUACUUAGGCCUUUCUCUCUCUCUCCUCCCAUCACAUACUCUCCCCUCGCCUCCGCACUCGCCGCCUCUCCUUCACUCCUUCUAGGAACUUUGGAGAAUUAGGAUGCACACAAUCAUUUCUAGCUUUCAAUAUUGUUGCAACUACGUCUCGAUUGACUGCACACCUUAUAGCCCAUUCCGAGCUCUUCUAUGGUACCUUCUGUUGUAAUUGUCAGGAUUGCUAAUAUUUAUUUUAUUAAAAGAGGUGACUUCCUCUUCUUUCUUCGGUUUCUCCUAUGUUCUAUUCUUCUAUUUCUCCUCUACUUCGUCGAUUGAAGUUGCGGUGGUUGUGCGUCUGCGUGUGUUGUUGCUUAUGGCCAAUGGUGCGCCACCGAGUUGCUUCUCUUAUUGGGACCCUACAUAUGAAUCGAAGAGGAGAUAAUUGUUACAUAUUGACUCGUAAUGUAUGUAUGAGAAAAGAAUUUACAGGUUGAUAGGAUGCAUACUUCAUACGGAGGAGCUAGUAAUUAGUCAAGUAGUUGUUAUUUUAUUUUCUUUAUUUUCAUGGUUAUAUAGUCGUACAAUAAAGUUUAUUUCAAUAAAGAUAAGUUAUUUCCUCUGCA